GAUGAACGCUGGCGGCGUGCCUAAUACAUGCAAGUCGAGCGAACAGACGAGGAGCUUGCUCCUCUGACGUUAGCGGCGGACGGGUGAGUAACACGUGGAUAACCUACCUAUAAGACUGGGAUAACUUCGGGAAACCGGAGCUAAUACCGGAUAAUAUAUUGAACCGCAUGGUUCAAUAGUGAAAGACGGUUUUGCUGUCACUUAUAGAUGGAUCCGCGCCGCAUUAGCUAGUUGGUAAGUUAACGGCUUACCAAGGCAACGAUGAGUAGCCGACCUGGUAGGGUGAUCGGCCACACUGGAACUGAGACACGGUCCAGACUCCUACGGGAGGCAGCAGUAGGGAAUCUUCCGCAAUGGGCGAAAGCCUGACGGAGCAACGCCGCGUGAGGGAUGAAGGUCUUCGGAUCGUAAAACUCUGUUAUUAGGGAAGAACAAAUGUGUAAGUAACUAUGCACGUCUUGACGGUACCUAAUCAGAAAGCCACGGCUAGCUACGUG
RNAcentral lists this ribosomal RNA (497 nucleotides) under uncultured bacterium. RNAcentral describes it as "partial 16S ribosomal RNA". It matches the Rfam family "Bacterial small subunit ribosomal RNA", at positions 28 to 507 of the family's 1533-position model. The record is from RNAcentral.